Ostrinia furnacalis (Asian corn borer) is the source of this 2198-nucleotide RNA transcript. It is a transcript of the gene named sodium/hydrogen exchanger 9B2, with no coding region annotated. The record is from RefSeq and is a predicted model, not a curated record. Lineage: Eukaryota; Metazoa; Arthropoda; Insecta; Lepidoptera; Crambidae. The transcript is spliced from 12 exons.
UUUUAUUAUUAGAUAGACGGUAAACGGGAUCACACGGGCACGAGCUUUAAGUGUAGUGUUCUCAACAAACGACAUGUGUUUACGUUGCGGGGCGCUCUCCUGUCACUCGGUGAUAUAAACCGCUAUAGUUUCCGUGGAAUUGUUAUUAGUAGCAAGCCUGUCACGGUCAAGACAUGGCGGGAAACUGUGAACCUGACAGACCUGAUAUUCAAAAUGGAAGGAGUAACGUGAUAAGUUUUGAAGUCAAGCCCUUCAAAACGUGAGAAACAACUUGAACAGAACGGCUAUUGUGGAAUAUUUACACCCACGUUGCCUUCUCUUAACGAAGUUAAACAAUACCUAGGGGUCCUAAUAUGUGGUAUUACGCUAUGGGGGACUUCAUGGUUCAUCUUCAAAGAUGCAGUCAUACCAGGAGGGUUCAUAUUCAACAUGACAGGAGUAGUAAUAGCUGGUUAUGUGUUCGGCCACACAUUAGAGAGGUACACAACUGUCAACCCGGUUGUCGGGAUGACUGUAGUUGGCGCACUGUAUAGAAACUUAGGCCCGCCAAGUUUCUUGGAUAAUCCUGUCGCUGACAUCAUUGAUUUUCAUUUACGGCGAAUUUACCCCGUAAUUAUCUUGACGAAGGGCCCACUCAGCUGGAACUGGGAAUAUAUAAAAAACAAUUCUUUGAAAGUUUUCUCAUUGGCAACCUUGCCUUGGCUCGUCGAGUGUUUGUCUACAGCCUUCUUCAGUCAUCUAUUGCUGGGCUUUCCAUGGUAUUGGGGUCUCCAUUUAGGUGCUAUACUCUCAUCAGUGUCCCCCGCAGUGGUGGUGCCAACUGUAAUGAGUCAUAGCGCCCGAGGAUUUGGCACCAAGAGUCAGAUCGCUCUUCUAGUUGGCAAUGCUGGAGGUCUGGACACCGCCUUCACUGAAGGCAUGUUUGGAAUCAUCAAUAGCGCUAUAUUCUACCAAUCUUCGUUGAUUUAUAGGAUUAUUAAGGCAGUGCUGGCAGUGUUUGUGGGAAUCGCCCUUGGAAUAUCGUGGGGCGUUUUAGCGGAUUUUGUCCCGGAUCAGGGAGACCCCUACGCCCCCGCAGUUCGAAGUUUGCUUAUUUUUGCCGGCGGUUUUCUACUUACUUAUGCUGGCGGAUACUUCGGAUGGGGCGGCACAUCUGGAGUGGCGAUCAUGGUGUGCGCGGGCGCCGCGGCCACGCGCUGGUCGCGGCGUGACUGGCCAAUCAACAACAACCCGGUGUCAGAGGUCUAUAAAGUUCUCUGGAGGAUCUUAGAGCCAAUGCUCUUUACGCUAAGCGGAUACUUCUUAGAGGUAUCACAGAUGUCGGUUCGGGAUUUCGGACUAAUAUUGGGAUGCAUAGUCGCAGCCUUGUCCUUUCGGCUGCUGACCGCCUUCCUGGUGUGUCUGGCGAAUGAACUCUCCGUGAAAGAGAGCCUGUUUGUAGCAGUCACUUGGAUUCCUAAAGCUAUAGUGGAGGCGGUUUUGGUUCGAGUUGCGACAGACUCGCUGUGGGACACCGCCUCGCCGAGAGACAAACGAGUGGCAGCGCAGCACGCGAAUAUAAUCGUUAUCGCCAUUAUCAUAACGUCCACUUUGGGGUCUGUGCUGACGACCGUGCUGGGACCGGUCCUGCUGUCGUCAGAAUCGCGAGUCGCUCCCGAAGAGGUGUACCAGAGCCAUGGUUUGCCUUCAGCCAAGCAUCUCUCCAGGAGGAACACUGUCCCAGGCUCCCUCCACCGCGUCGACGUUCAAUAAACAUUAUUAUAAAUGCAAACUGUACCUUAUUGAUACCUACUGAAUUAGCAUAAUUUCCCCGAAUAACUGUCAUUUUCCAACUUCAGAAACAGAUUAAAUGAACCUUUCGCGUUUUAUGAUAAUAGAUUCCCCGAAAAUACAUAAAACCAAACCCUACGAACGCUAUUAUCUACAAUACAUAAAUAUUCCAUUCCGAAGGGAAAGUUAUCCCGCCAAAUGUGUUGUUUUAGUUACUGGCCACCUUUAAGGAGGUGAACGCGCUAAGCACAAAGAAUAAAAGAAGAAAUAAAUCGCAUUUUCAUACAAAUCAAAUGCUUCACUUAAACGAAAAUGUAUGGAUCUCUCAUUUGUCUCUUUAUUGCUGGUGUCCCCUCAGGAAAAGAUUGAUGGUGGAGAUGAUGAGCACAUUCACCCCUUAAAACAAAUGCCGGUUACGACCGGUUAUU